This 450-nucleotide ribosomal RNA is filed under the name uncultured bacterium. RNAcentral describes it as "bacterial SSU rRNA". It matches the Rfam family "Bacterial small subunit ribosomal RNA", at positions 29 to 524 of the family's 1533-position model. The record is from RNAcentral.
AACGAACGCUGGCGGCAUGCCUAACACAUGCAAGUCGAACGAAGCCUUCGGGCUUAGUGGCGCACGGGUGCGUAACACGUGGGAAUCUGCCCUUCGGUUCGGAAUAACAGUUAGAAAUGACUGCUAAUACCGGAUGAUGACGUAAGUCCAAAGAUUUAUCGCCGAAGGAUGAGCCCGCGUAGGAUUAGGUAGUUGGUAGGGUAAUGGCCUACCAAGCCGACGAUCCUUAGCUGGUCUGAGAGGAUGAUCAGCCACACUGGGACUGAGACACGGCCUAGACUCCUACGGGAGGCAGCAGUGGGGAAUAUUGGACAAUGGGCGAAAGCCUGAUCCAGCAAUGCCGCGUGAGUGAUGAAGGCCUUAGGGUUGUAAAGCUCUUUUACCAGGGAUGAUAAUGACAGUACCUGGAGAAUAAGCUCCGGCUAACUCCGUGCCAGCAGCCGCGGUAAU